This 425-nucleotide long non-coding RNA is filed under the name Homo sapiens (human). RNAcentral describes it as "PREDICTED lncRNA (TCONS_00187149)". The record is from RNAcentral. Lineage: Eukaryota; Metazoa; Chordata; Mammalia; Primates; Hominidae.
CAGUCUGCUCCCAUGUACCAGUACCUGGAUAGGAAACUGUUCAAGGAAGCCUACCAGAUUGCUUGCUUGGGUGUCACAGACACUGAUUGGCGUGCACUGGCCAUGGAAGCGCUAGGUUUAGAUUUUGAAACAGCAAAGAGAAGGCAGCUGAUUUUAUUAUUCCCCACAGGCUUUCAUCAGAGUACAAGACCUCAUCAGCAGCAUUGAGGUAAAAGUUGAAGCAUUCUUACUUGUCAAGAAAGUGGACUUGGGGUUCGGGGUUCAGGGGCAGCCCUUGUGGCAGGUGUAUUAGUUCAUUUUCACGCUGCUGGAAAAGAUGUACGUGAGACUGGGCAAUUUACAAAAGAAAGAGGUCUAAUUAGACUUGCAGUUCCACAUGGCUAAGGAAGCCUCAUGAUCAUGGCAGAAGGCAAGGAAGAGCAAGU